Xenia sp. Carnegie-2017 is the source of this 1438-nucleotide long non-coding RNA. RefSeq lists it as uncharacterized. NCBI's taxonomy places the organism in Eukaryota, Metazoa, Cnidaria, Anthozoa, Malacalcyonacea, Xeniidae. The record is from RefSeq and is a predicted model, not a curated record. The transcript is spliced from 8 exons.
CAAACGCUGUUUGUUUUUUUAUAUUAACAGAGGUACUGGAACAUUGAAGACAACCAUGGACGUUAUAACUGCGGCAAAGCGUAUUGCAAAAGCUGGCGAAAGAAUAAAUCAAUUAUCAACAGAAGUUGCUGAAAAGUGUCCUCAUUCUCAAUCGAAGAACGAUCUUCUCGCAUACAUUCAACGCGUCUCUCUUUUUUCACAUCAACUCACCAUCACCAGUCGAGUGAAAGCUGAUAUCCAGACAAUCAGUGGCGUCGAAGUUGUGUCAGCGUUGGAAAGUGCAACUUCUCUUAUAACAGCUGCGAAAACUUGAUGAAUGCUGUUAUACUAACAGUCAAAGCUUCUUAUGUCGCUUCUACUAAGUUUCGAGGUUCUAACAGAUCAGUGGUCAACUGGACAAUGAAAGCGCCCAACAUGAAACCGCUUGUCACUCAAAGGAGUUUCGCAGACGAUGACUCAUCACCUCGUAGGUUAACCAAGUCGACAAGAUAUAGUGAAGUAAAUCCACUUGUCCCUCUCGAUCAAUUCGACACAUCUCGACCAAUGAAAAGAGCAGAUUUCUAGAAACUAUCGAUUUUAUAGGGAAACAAAGAAAUGCUUGGCCGACACAACUUUACCAUAACACAGUUCAGAAGAACGACUUUUCUUGUAUUUUAUCAAUAUCUUUUUUGCUCCUGAGAAAUUCAUAAGCCAUUUUACAGUGACCCACCUGCCAAAUUGCCAGUAGCAGCGCUAAGACCAAUGAAAUAUGAAGUCGGAAGUCGUAUACCAGAGACCUGAAGACAUGCUUUCCAUUCACCAUCACUAUCAAUGUCUGUCAUAACUGUUAAAGUUUCUUUGCUACCCAAGUACUGAAUCAAAGCAUAUGUUUCCGCUCCAUUAUUGCGAAAAGAAGCCUAAGAAAAUAUCUGAACUGUCAAAAUUGGACCAUGAAGAUAUUCAAUGAGCGCUUGAAAUCAUGAAAACAGUUAUACAAGAGCAUAAUGGAACGCAAAGCCAUCUCCAUAAAGUGAAUCUCCAGAACCAUGAACUGAAAAAUGGAUAUGGAUUUCCCAAUCGCGAGCUGUUACAGGCUGUAUGGUAAAAGAAGUUUUCAUGUUAAUUCACUACUCGGACAUAAAACAAAUCUUAUUUUAUUACCACUGACCAAUGUGUUCCAAAUAAACCCUUUUUGACUUUGAUGAUCCUCGGUCAAUCGGAUAUGAUUACUGGUUAUCAAUGUGUCACCACCAAAAUCCCAAAAUUGCAGGCUAGUGCUACCAACUAAAUAAAAACUGCUGUAAGCUCUAAGGACUAUGACAAAAACGCCACAUCUUACAUGUUGGAAAACUUUGAAAUACUACUAUUGAUUAAUUCUGAACAUGCUGAGUUAGCAAAUCAAUUGUAGAUUUUCAUCAAUGUCAAUUUAUUUCUACAUAAAUUAAAAAAAUAACCAGCA